This is a long non-coding RNA of Lycium ferocissimum, 534 nucleotides long. RefSeq lists it as uncharacterized. Lineage: Eukaryota; Viridiplantae; Streptophyta; Magnoliopsida; Solanales; Solanaceae. The record is from RefSeq and is a predicted model, not a curated record. The transcript has 2 exons.
UUGGCAUACACAGCACUUCACAAAAUAUAGAAAUAGGUCAUAUUCUAUCCAAAUUACAGAGAUAUGGCAAAGCCAGUAAUAAGCUACACAACUUUCCUUGCUCUCUUCUUCUGUUUCCUCCUCAUUGCUUCCAAUGAGAUGCAAGUGGCUGAGGGAAAAGUUGGUAUUUGCCCAGUUAAGAGCAGGUUAUAUAGCGGUCGUUGCGUUAGCAGUAGAUGCAACAACGUGUGCCAAAGGUUAGAGAGGACACGCUAUGGUCGUUGUGUUAGAAGUGCUUGCCGCUGCUACGUCGCUUGUAUGAAUGUCUAAUAUAUAUAAUACUCCAUGUUGUGAUCUUGAAUAAAGUCACUACCAUUUCACUAGAAUUGGAGUGAUUGUGAGAAAGUAUAUAUGGUACUACAUACUCAUUUGUGUUUGUAUAAUUGCAUAUUGUACGUUUUCUGCUUGGAAGUCAUGUACUCAAGUUUUAUUUGGUGACAACUCAUGAGAAGUGAAGUAAUCGAAAUCGUUAUAAUUCUGAUUGAGUUGACUGGA